Molecule: unclassified non-coding RNA, 514 nt
Filed under: Hevea brasiliensis (rubber tree)
Lineage: Eukaryota; Viridiplantae; Streptophyta; Magnoliopsida; Malpighiales; Euphorbiaceae
Source: RNAcentral
CCGAUUAUCUGCAGCUUUAACCUUAAAAGAGGAAUUAUAGGAGUAAAUUUAUCAGAUAAAAUUAAUUAAAUCAGACGCUUAUCAGAUAAAAUUAAUAAAAUCAGACAACUAAAAGGAGAACAUGUGGAUAGAUUAUUUACUAAGAUUUUCAUAAACAACCCAGGAAAUUCUAAGUGUUCUAUUUUGUAUACAUGUACAUACUGGCAUGAGGCGGGUGAUUCAUACAAUGUACAUUCACCAUCAGUUUUAUGAUUUCAAUAAAUUAUUUUACGGUUUCCAUUCAUGACUCCAAUUUUUCGCAUAAGAUUAUCUCAGAUAGAGCAUGAAGUCUCCAAAAUUCUUAAGAUUUAAGAAGCAAGUUCUGGUAAUUUUAUUUCAAAUGGUUAUCAACUACAUCCUUACAACAAGUACUAAAAACACUAAGAAAUCAUAUUUUCAUAUCAAACUUUACAAGAUAGAUCACCUCAAGUUCAAAUGACUUCUCAUUUAAUUGUUCCGUCAGUUCAGCAACUGU